Long non-coding RNA from Haliotis rubra (blacklip abalone), 3046 nucleotides. RefSeq lists it as uncharacterized. NCBI's taxonomy places the organism in Eukaryota, Metazoa, Mollusca, Gastropoda, Lepetellida, Haliotidae. The record is from RefSeq and is a predicted model, not a curated record. The transcript is spliced from 9 exons.
UAUAAACAACGAGACCUCUCCACCACAACCCACUCAGCAGCCACUGGAACACCAACAGCAGCAACAACAACAUCACCAACAGAAGGGGCAAGACAAUUGGCAGCAACAAAGACCACAUCAACAGCAAGGUCAAAGGAAACAGCAUCAAGGUCAAGGUCAUGCGAACCACCGACCUCAUGACUCUGGACCUAAUUUAGACACAGGUGAAUACAAGCUGAAGCACAUGAUAGACUUUGUGAGGAACCUGCCGUGCAAUAAUGUCAAGCCUUUGUCCACGGGGGCAGACAUCUUGGAAGAGGCGUGGUCAAGGCAAUAGAAGAGGAGGUGGACAGAGUUAAUGAGGAAAACAGGAGGAAACAGAAGAAAGUCAAGAUGCAAGUGAAACCUCAUUUGUUGUUCAGACCCCUCAUCAACCAAGACCAGACUGCCACCUACUGGCUGUACGACCGUGUGGUAGCUGUGAAGCUGGGAUACCCCGUCCCCCUUGGAUUGCGGGGACGGUUGUCGGCAUCCACCCUGAUGAGAAGGAGAGCGACAUGCUGUAUGAUGUGGUGUUUGAUGCUGAACUUAUCGGAGGAAUCAAUGUCAGAAGAAUGGUGGGUUUACCAGCAACAAUCCCCAAUUUGUUACACCAAAAGUCACACAAACACAGUUUUCUAAACGAACACCAAACAGAACUCAACAGACAGGAGGAAAGACACAACCUUCCCAAGAUGCAACCAGCAACUCAGAGUUUGCCAACAUGUGGAAGGAGCUGCAGGCCGGCACAGUACAGACAGCGCCAUCAAGUGGCAACCUCCUCCAAGAACCAUCACUCCAAUAGGCAGCACUUGCAUUGGGGCAGAUAACUCCUCCUACAACACGGCACCAGAAGAAACCAGAACUGAGUGGACGUGGUGACAGCGUUAAUGAAUCAGGAGUGGUAGCAGUAAGAAGAUCGAUCUUCAGACUCUGUUUGAUCGUGCUAGCUUGCAGAAGGAAGCCGCGGAGAAAGAUGAGUUCAUUGCCAUGAUGGACUCUCUGAAGUUGUCCUGGAAGACCCAGAAGGAGGAAGAGGUCGUAGGAGGAAUCAAUAGUAAUAAUAAUGCCACGGAACAGGAUGGUAGCUCUGCACUGAAACACAUGCUGAAGAUCGGAUCGGACACUGGUACAACGCCAGUGGGAGGUAGUGCGCCCAGUACUUCAUCACCAACAAAAGCAUAUGGGAAACAGUUAUCAGUGCAGGAACUGUUUGAUGGAGCAGCCACAGUUCAUCAGACAACAAGGAUGUUGAAGACAUGGUUGCAGAAGUCGCGGCUAUGACAAAGCAUACCUGUGACAGUGAGCAGACCGGCCCAUUGUUCAAGUGUCCGUUAUGUGUCUAGACCUAAAAGUCUCAGUCAGGUUUCAGAAGUCAUGUACUGAAGAAGCAUAACAGAAAGGAUUUGAAAGCAGCAGAUCAUCUACAGCUGACAGUAGACCAUGGUGUCUUGCCGAAAGGAGACACAACAAAGCAGCAAACAAGUUGGUUGCCAGAUGAUCUCGAACAAAUUCUUAGAGAAGCGACCUCAGUCACCCUUACCGAGAUGGAAAACAGCCUGUACCACACAAUGCAAGAAUCGGCCCAUGGACAUCAUAUUGUUUUCCUUGCAAAACAAAUUAGUGGUCACUCAAGUGGGGUACUCACAGAGCCACUGUCAACCCAUCUUAAAGAAAUAUUCAGGGACUUUGGCAAAUCCUGAUUCAACAGUUCUGAACGUGAGGCAUUCUUCAAACAAUUACACAAACUGAAAAUGAACUUUGAUGUGCUAGAUUCUGUUGAAGGCGACAUUUGUGACAGCAUUGACCUUGGAAGUAGUGAGACUUUUGUUCCUGUUGUCAUUACGAGUUUUAUUGAUGGUGUUGUCAGUGCUACGAUGAGGCUGCUUUUACAGAGAUGUGAGGAAGACCAAGAAAAGCAGAAUUUUGAACUGAGCAAACAAGAUCAGAGUGUACUGCAUUUGAUUGCAGGAUUUUUUAUCUCUUCUGUCAAGAAAAGUGCUCAACAGGACAAGGAGAAGUUGUCAGCAAUAAGCAAGUUAGUGGAGCCAUCAGAUUCCAAGAAGGAAAACUUUCUCAUCGAUGUAAGGAAGUGGUCACAUAAAAUUGACAGAGGUGGUCUCCAGCAACCUCGACUCUUUCUUUCUCAUUGUCAGACUAUUUGAGACAGAAGCUAGGAAGGCUCCACCAGUGGUUAAAACUGGCAAAAUGGGAAACCAGUCCUUAAGAGAGGCCGUUCUAACCAAUGUUUUGGUGAUUAAGUAUUGGAACUCUCUUGUCGGAGACUCGCACAACAGUAAGUCAACUCUUGGAAGAGAUCGUCCAAAGGUUUCUGAAAGUAAGGUCACAUGCAAUGGCGAGAUAACUGGAGAGAGAGGCGAGUAGAGCUUUGAAAGCUAAGAGAGCGCGCCAAGGAAGAAGUCAAGAUCUCUUUGUGGUUCCCUCAAGGACUAAAACAUUUCUUAAGACACUGCUUUGUUCAGUGACUUUCUGUUUAUGUGACUAUUCAGCUUGAUCAUCAAGUCUUUAUUUUGCACUUAAGAGGCCACAGGCCUCUAGUACAUGUAUACUGACUAUAUUGUUAUUAGGCAGUAGAGAGUACAUUUCUCCUGUGUAAAAAGGCAUGGUAUAGGAACACUUUUCCAGGAACUUUUUCAGGUGUUCCUUGCUAGGGUAGGUUAACAGAGAUAUAAAUUUAUAAAUAUUGUGAUGUACUAAGUAAUAUUUCUUAAUAUACUUAUUUCUUAAAUUGUGGUAGGCUGGACAAACAUGAAAAUCAUAAUCAUCUUCAAUUAGAUUCAAGUCACACAUUUCACAGAUCUAAACCUCCUUUUUUUAUUCCAAUAUAUCUAGUAGUAACUUUCACACCAAGGAAUCUUUUUAUUGCAUAUAAAUGUACUUUUUCUAGUGUUUCAAUGUUUGUAGUCCCCAAACCUUAGAACCAUAUGGAAGUAUGGGACUAUUCAGCUAUUAUGAUAUAUGUUUGAAAUGAUAUGUUACACAAUUAAAAUGUCUCACUGUGUUUCAA